GGGGAUGUAGCCCAAUUGGAAGAGGUACGCGACUCAGAAUCGCGAUGUUGUGGGUUCGAAUCCCACCAUCCCCACCA
This 77-nucleotide transfer RNA is filed under the name Sulfidibacter corallicola. RNAcentral describes it as "Acanthopleuribacteraceae bacterium M133 tRNA-Leu". It matches the Rfam family "tRNA". From Rfam's summary of the family: Transfer RNA (tRNA) molecules are approximately 80 nucleotides in length. Their secondary structure includes four short double-helical elements and three loops (D, anti-codon, and T loops). Lineage: Bacteria; Pseudomonadati; Acidobacteriota; Holophagae; Acanthopleuribacterales; Acanthopleuribacteraceae. The record is from RNAcentral.